UACGGCGGUCAUAGCGUCGAGGAAACGCCCGGUUCCAUUCCGAACCCGGAAGCUAAGCUCGAUCGCGCCGAUGGUACUGCACUCGGGAGGGUGUGGGAGAGUAGGUCGCCGCCGGACAUCUUCACUGGGAGUGGAGGAGUGCUUGAACCCCU
RNAcentral lists this ribosomal RNA (152 nucleotides) under Brachybacterium sp. AG952. Lineage: Bacteria; Bacillati; Actinomycetota; Actinomycetes; Micrococcales; Dermabacteraceae. The record is from RNAcentral.